UACGUAGGGUGCGAGCGUUGUCCGGAAUUAUUGGGCGUAAAGAGCUCGUAGGCGGUCUGUCGCGUCGAAUGUGAAAACCCGGGGCUCAACCCCGGGCCUGCAUUCGAUACGGGCAGACUAGAGUUCGGUAGGGGAGUCUGGAAUUCCUGGUGUAGCGGUGAAAUGCGCAGAUAUCAGGAGGAACACCGGUGGCGAAGGCGGGACUCUGGGCCGAUACUGACGCUGAGGAGCGAAAGCGUGGGGAGCAAACAGG
Molecule: ribosomal RNA, 253 nt
Filed under: uncultured bacterium
Lineage: Bacteria
Description: partial 16S ribosomal RNA
Rfam family: Bacterial small subunit ribosomal RNA
Source: RNAcentral